Pezoporus occidentalis (night parrot) is the source of this 3575-nucleotide long non-coding RNA. RefSeq lists it as uncharacterized. NCBI's taxonomy places the organism in Eukaryota, Metazoa, Chordata, Aves, Psittaciformes, Psittacidae. The transcript has 3 exons. The record is from RefSeq and is a predicted model, not a curated record.
UGAUCAGAAAAGACUAUUGAGGACUAACCCUUUAGCGUGUGAGACAGUAGAAGCUGUCUGGCUUGACUUGUGAGUUUGACAGAGGAGUAAGUUAGUUUACCUGAGGACAUUAUGAAACAUGAUGAGACUUGCAGCAGCGAAAUAUAAGCCUCAGCUCUGGCCUCCAAUUCUGGAUGUAGAGGAACUGUGUUUUGGAGCUUGACACUAACCACAGAACUUGAACACUCUGGGUUUAUGUGCUCUUGGCUAGGCUACAGGACUUCAGCUUCUCAUUAGCAGUUGCAAAGCUUAAGGGAAGAAACAGAAAUAUGCAGCAAUACAAGUAUGGGUAUGAUACCAUCAUUAGUGAAGGCUCACAUGGCAAGGCUUGCUCUUUCAGUGACCCCAGAAAAGGUAUUACCAUCACAGCUUGCUGGUGGAACUGUCAGCAAAAGAGAAUAAGAAUUAAUUUGUGCCUGAUAUUUGUAGUGCCUGGUCACUGAGAUUCAUGAAAAAGUCACACAGAAAGCAGCUUCCAUAGUAGAAGAUAAAGCAUGCUAAUUUCCUAACUCUGAAAAGCCAUGGGUUUUAUUAUCUUUUGGCUCAGACCUGUACUAGGGGAGAUACCUUGAAAUAGAAGUAAAAAAUCAGCUAAGUAUCUGAUUAUCAUGUGACAUCUCUUUUCAGCAGCUGCCAGAGGGUGGGGAGGCUCCCAUAUUAGCAAUCACAUGAAAAUUACAAUAUUCAAUGGCAGCACCCACAGAAUGUCCAUCUCCCUGUAGAAACUGGUUUUGCCGCUACAAGCACGUUCAUGUUGAGAUCAUCAUCUACUCAACAGUUCUUGAUUCCUUGCACUUCAGAGGAUGCGCCUUAUCUGUUUUGAAGGUGGAUGGCAGAGAACAUGAACACUGACUUUAUGUACAAGUAAUUUAAAAUAAUAUAGCACGUUUAUUUUAAACUGUAACUCCAAUAGGUUUUAUGUGCACCAUGUUACACCAGAGUUACUCUAUCCACCCCUUCUGGAGUUAGAAGAAGCAAUAUUAUAGAAGAUAAAAUUAAAUUCUUCUUGUGACAGAAAUACGUAUUUUAGAACAGCUGUUAUUCAGGACUAGCCAUAGCUUUCAGACCUCUCCAGAUCUAGUUAUUUCAAUGAGAACAACAGUCCCCAUGUCUUCUUUCUGGGUACGACCAUGUUUUAAAGGUGUUUUCACCCUAUGGUUCCAGCCAUCAUUGUUCUUCCACCUUCAUUCUGCCUGACCACUUCCAAGCAACUUGUUUGGAAGGGAGAUAUGAUUUUUUGAUGGCACAGUGACCCAGAUAAACUUACUUAUUACUUAUGCAUUUGGAGGGCAGCAGUCACAGAAGAAGGACAAAAUAGUAAAAGGCCAGCAAGCAAAUUAUUCUAUUAAGUAUUUAGCAUCUUCCUUCACACUGAAGCAGGCCCCACUUAUUCAAAUGUCACUAUUCACGGAGAAGCAAAAUUUCAGCUCUUGCCUCUCCAGAUCUACAGAUCUUCAAAAAAUUCCAUUCAGAACUGCAUAUUCUGGAGCACUGUUCCCCUGGACACCUGUGGUGCUUGAUCAGAAGCAUUUGACACCUGUUCUGCAGUCAGUUUUCUGAAAUCUGUGACUUUUUCAUCUAGGUAUAUGAAGGUACAAUUAUUAGAUUUAACUCUUAGCACUUUGCAAGCAAUGCAGUAGCCAUCAAAUAGACAAGAAAGCCAGAAAACAAUCACUGACAGCGCCCAGAUACUUCACAGGGAAGCUGUAGCUAAGUUUAUUAUUACCUCUUGCAUUACCUUUAAGAUUUUGCCUGGAGGGCAGUGCUGAAAUCAGGCUUCCAACCUGCAAGGGAAUUUACAACUACUUGCUAAGUCACCCUCCCUGCCCUGAAGCCUUUUUAUUCUAAAAAGGGACUCUUUUCAUUUUAUAGAAGGAAAGAUGAUGCAUAAACCAAAUCCAGAGUUAGAUUUUGCAGCAGACUGACACUGACAUGCCUCAUGUCUUGCGGAGCAUCCAUGAGACAAUCAGAAAUGUUUUCUGGGAACGCUGUGAGUUUGAGCCCUGUGCCUUUCUUACCCAGCCUCCUUUACAGACCAGGAAGACAUGGAGUAGUGAGUGACUGACAUUAUUAAGUCAUCCUUGUCAGUGAGGGCACUUAUGAAAAACACAUCUGGUUUUGAAAAACACAAAAUUGCAGAUACAAUGGAUAUGCAAAAUUCCUCUCCCCCCAGAAAAAAAGUUUUAGAAGUUGGUAUCUCAUUUCAGUUCCCAUAAGAACGAAUAAUCUACCAAACACCAGGUUUUCAAUGGAGAUUAGAGUGAGGUUUGCUCUAUGUUUUCUUUUUUUUUUAAAAAAAAAAUCUUGAGGAGAAAAACUCUCAUGGUGUCAGUUUAUUUCAUCUGUGUGAGAAAGGGCAGGAUGUUUUGCUGGUUAAUUCAUCAUGUGUGAAAAAUAAAAUGUUGCCAAAACCUACAUUGAACAUACUUCCUUAAGAAAAGUAGGUUACAUUACAUUAAGCCUGAAGGGGUUUAGUCACUGUAGAAAAGUCAGUCUAUAGCUUCUGCUCUAACAGCAGGCUGUAAUGCCCAUACUUGCCCAGAAUAUCAUUUCUCUAUUAUACUGUCUUGCUGGUCCCUGAUUACAAAAUGUUUCAUUUUUUAAUUUUUUUUUUCUUCUUUCUUUUUCUUUCUAUAUGUGAAAUUUUUGGAAAACUCAUCUAAAAUUCUUUAGACAGUAUUUCGUCUUUCUAUCUACAUAUAUCAAAACUUCAGCCAGAAUUCCUUAAAUCUGUACUUGAAAGGAGCAGAUAGUGAUGAACUGGAAAAAUGCAGAGGAUUGAUAACAUCUUAAAUAGUUUGCAUAUUUUUAUGUUGCUGGGACAUGAAACAUGAAUGGCACUUAUAACAAAAUAUUAGGCAUGUGAAGGUGACCUGUGUUUGUCACUCAAGUUGUUUAAAAUCUUUAUCAGCUCUCUUGAUGCUUGUUUUACAGAUGUAACCUCCCAUUUUCCAGACAAUGCAUACAGUGCACUCGGCAAGUGUACUUACUAUUUAGAACAGAAGAACAGUGCUUGCAUCUGCAGACAUUUGUAUGAGUCAUCCUCAUGAUGUUAAUGCAGGUUUUCAUGAAGCACCUGUAUGAGAAAAAGCUGGUAGAAUCAGCCUUCAAUUCCUGAAUGUAUUUUAAAGUUUCUUUAAGGUUUUUCAGGCUGAAGAAAGGCUCUAGAAAGACAGAAAUACAAAUAAGACAUCAACAGUGAAAUGUGGCCGUUGCAAGUUUUAUUAUUUGAGUGCUGACAGGUCAUUUCCCCUUUGCCUCUUGCAUAGCGUAAUAUUAUCACCAGUCAGCAGCAACCAUUUGGCUUGUCAGCAGAAGGGCAGGGAAAUCACACACCAGGCAGGGAAAGCUUCUUUGUUUCUUUCCCAGGGAAAUCCAUGACAGAAAACAAAGGAAGAAAUUAUAAAUGAUGAUCAAAUAAGAUAGAAUCAUCCCCUCAGGAAUUUCAUUCUCUUUUCACUGGGUGAGGAGAACAAAAGGCUCAAUGUUUAUCUGCUCUGCUCUUGAGAGAGCCAAGUCAGUUCUCUAACAGAGCA